RNAcentral lists this transfer RNA (69 nucleotides) under Caudoviricetes sp. RNAcentral's name for it is "tRNA-Ser". The record is from RNAcentral. Lineage: Duplodnaviria; Heunggongvirae; Uroviricota; Caudoviricetes.
GGUUUGCGGGUUUUCAGGCCUUGAAUGGGGUUCAAGAGGCCGCAGGUUCGACUCCUGUCACUCGGACCA